This 259-nucleotide ribosomal RNA is filed under the name uncultured bacterium. Its description in RNAcentral is "partial 16S ribosomal RNA". It matches the Rfam family "Bacterial small subunit ribosomal RNA", at positions 524 to 776 of the family's 1533-position model. The record is from RNAcentral.
UACAGAGGGUGCAAGCGUUGUUCGGAAAUUACUGGGCGUAAAGCGCGUGUAGGCUGCGAUGUAAGUCAGGUGAUGAAAGCCCUCAGCUUAACUGAGGAAGUGCACUUGAUACUGCGUCGCUUGAGUGUCGGGAGGGGGUGGCGGAACUUCCCGGUGUAGAGGUGAAAUUCGUAGGAUAUCGGGAGGAACACCUGUGGCGAAGGCGGCCACCUGGACGACAACUGGACGCUGAGACGCGAAAGCGUGGGUAGCAAACAGG